CCCUUAGAUGUUCUGGGCCGCACGCGCGCUACACUGACGAAGUCAGCGAGCAUGUCCUACGCCGACAGGUGCGGGGAAUCUUGUCAAACUUCGUCGUGAUGGGGAUUGAUUUUUGAAAUUCUUGAUCAUAAACGAGGAAUUCCUAGUAAGCGCAAGUCAGCAGCUUGCGUUGAUUACGUCCCUGCCCUUUGUACACACCGCCCGUCGCUACUACCGAUUGAAUGGUUUAGUGAGAUCUUCGGAUUGGCGCCACUGCAGCUCAGCAAUGGGCUUGGUGGAUGCCGAAAAGUUGAUCAAACUUGAUCAUUUAGAGGAAGUAAAAGUCGUAACA
Molecule: ribosomal RNA, 331 nt
Filed under: uncultured eukaryote
Lineage: Eukaryota
Description: partial 18S ribosomal RNA
Rfam family: Eukaryotic small subunit ribosomal RNA
Source: RNAcentral